This 330-nucleotide ribosomal RNA is filed under the name uncultured eukaryote. Its description in RNAcentral is "partial 18S ribosomal RNA". It matches the Rfam family "Eukaryotic small subunit ribosomal RNA", at positions 1470 to 1796 of the family's 1831-position model. The record is from RNAcentral.
CCCUUAGAUGUUCUGGGCCGCACGCGCGCUACACUGAUGAAUUCAACGAGCUCCUAACCUAGGCCGAAGGGUCCGGGUAAUCUUUGAAAUUUCAUCGUGAUGGGGAUAGAUUAUUGCAAUUAUUAAUCUUCAACGAGGAAUUCCUAGUAAGCGCGAGUCAUCAGCUCGCGUUGAUUACGUCCCUGCCCUUUGUACACACCGCCCGUCGCGCCUACCGAUUGAAUGGUCCGGUGAAAUGUUCGGACCGCGACAAGGCGGACGGUUCGCUGUCAGCUUUGCUGCGGGAAGUUCAUUAAACCUUAUCAUUUAGAGGAAGGAGAAGUCGUAACA